RNAcentral lists this unclassified non-coding RNA (330 nucleotides) under soil metagenome. RNAcentral's name for it is "partial contains 5.8S ribosomal RNA, internal transcribed spacer 2, and large subunit ribosomal RNA". The stretch from base 1 to 120 matches the Rfam family "5.8S ribosomal RNA", at positions 35 to 154 of the family's 154-position model. The record is from RNAcentral.
GAUGAAGAACGUAGUGAAAUGCGAUAAGUAAUGUGAAUUGCAGAAUUCAGUGGAUCAUCGAAUCUUUGAACGCACAUUGCGCCCCUUGGUAUUCCGAGGGGCAUGCCUGUUCGAGCGUCAUUAUAACCCCUCAAGCUUAGCUUGGUGUUGGGGCCUGCUGUAAUAGAGCAGCCCUUAAAAUCAGUGGCGGUGCCAUUAGGCUCUAAGCGUAGUAAUUCUUCUCGCUAUAGGGUUCUGGUGGAUGCUUGCCAUUAACCUCUAAUUUUCUAUGGUUGACCUCGGAUCAGGUAGGGAUACCCGCUGAACUUAAGCAUAUCAAUAAGCGGAGGA